GGUGAGUUGUGUUUAGUCUCUUUGCUAAAGAAAUCAGGCAAAGUUAAAAAGAUGUUUGGUGGCUAGUGCUGUGGCUGGGACCCUAUAUGUACUGUUGAUGAAGUUAGGUGCUGUUCUGAGCAUUAUUUUUGGCUAUAGAGUGGCGUUUUGGUUGAGGUUUGUUUAUGGCUCCUCAGACCGCUGUGUAUUACUAUCCUGCGGUCGUUACUAAAG
Xyrichtys novacula (pearly razorfish) is the source of this 213-nucleotide non-coding RNA. The record is from the annotation of a GenBank genome assembly. Lineage: Eukaryota; Metazoa; Chordata; Actinopteri; Labriformes; Labridae.